AAGUAUAAUAAUAGGCAGUAUUUAGGCAAGCUCCACUGAUCUCAAAAAGCUAAGGAGAAUUAGUUCUGGUCAUUAUUUGGAUGGGAGACCAUAGGAAAUCCACAGGGUUGUACAUU
This 116-nucleotide ribosomal RNA is filed under the name Notechis scutatus (mainland tiger snake). Lineage: Eukaryota; Metazoa; Chordata; Lepidosauria; Squamata; Elapidae. The record is from RNAcentral.